This 425-nucleotide ribosomal RNA is filed under the name Verrucomicrobiota bacterium. RNAcentral's name for it is "Verrucomicrobia bacterium partial 16S ribosomal RNA". It matches the Rfam family "Bacterial small subunit ribosomal RNA", at positions 355 to 776 of the family's 1533-position model. The record is from RNAcentral. Lineage: Bacteria; Pseudomonadati; Verrucomicrobiota.
UGAGGAAUAUUGGUCAAUGGGCGAGAGCCUGAACCAGCCACGUCGCGUGAAGGAAGACUGACCUUACGGUUUGUAAACUUCUUUUGUAGAGGGGUAAUGGCAGAUACGUGUAUUUGCGUGAAAGUACUCUACGAAUAAGCAUCGGCUAACUCCGUGCCAGCAGCCGCGGUAAUACGGGGGAUGCGAGCGUUAUCCGGAAUUAUUGGGUUUAAAGGGUGCGCAGGUGGCUAAUCAGGUCAGUGGUGAAAAGCUAUGGCUCAACCAUGGUCUUGCCAUUGAAACCGUAUAGCUAGAGAGGAGACGAGGUAGGCGGAAUGUGUGGUGUAGCGGGGAAAUGCAUAGAUAUCACACAGAACUCCGAUUGCGAAGGCAGCUUACCAGGCUUUAUCUGACACUUAGGCACGACAGCGUGGGGAUCAAACAGG